UUCAAAAACCCCCCCUGUGGUUUCAUGCAUUCUCACUUUAGUACCCUGUGGUUUAAAACGUAUCAAUUUGCCCCCCUGUGGUUUCGUUUUUAUCUUUUCAGAAGCUUUUUCGUUAAUAUUUCGUUAAAUUAUAUACAAAAAACUUCAGAUAACCAUCUAUGUUUAUCGAAUAUUCACUUUAGUAUCCUUUAAUUUUAAUUUUGUCACUGAUUUAAGAAAAAAAAAAUAAUAAAAUUGAUAACAAAAAGAGAAAAAUGAAACCACAAGAGGGCAAAUUGAUACGUUUUAAACCACAGGGUAUGAAAGUGAGAAUGCAUGAAACCACAGGGGGGGUUUUUGAAGUUUUCCCU
Molecule: long non-coding RNA, 350 nt
Filed under: Ananas comosus (pineapple)
Lineage: Eukaryota; Viridiplantae; Streptophyta; Magnoliopsida; Poales; Bromeliaceae
Description: long non-coding RNA (ACOM_LNC009937)
Source: RNAcentral